Ictalurus punctatus (channel catfish) is the source of this 3147-nucleotide long non-coding RNA. RefSeq lists it as uncharacterized. The transcript has 5 exons. Lineage: Eukaryota; Metazoa; Chordata; Actinopteri; Siluriformes; Ictaluridae. The record is from RefSeq and is a predicted model, not a curated record.
UUCCAUGGUCAAGUGUGAGGACCAAUUAUGCACUGGGAAUUGUGACUCUUUUUCCAUACCUCCAAGAUCCUUUCUCCAAACAUGGAUAUGAACACUACUAUGAUCCUUUAGGGUAAUACUGGCUUCAUUGCAUGGAGGAUCAAGACAGUUCAACAUAACACCUGUGCUGGCUCCCGGUGUCAUUCCAAGACUGUUCUUCAGGAUGGUCCAAAAAACAGACAAGAAUCUCUGUUAACUUGUCAACAGCGAUUUGGUGAGGAGUGCAGGGAGGCGAUAUCUACAAUACGAUAUUCCACUGAUGAGAAGAUGAGCGACUUUCCAGUAUUGACAGAAGAUGGUGGGUGAGGAUGCAUCAUCUUCUGUCCUGGAUUUGUUCACUUGUUUCCUUGCUGUAUCUGGAUUGAUCGACCACGAUUUCUCCAUGAUGUUUGGUGACGAAGUGUCUCAGAAGUUCCUGGCAAAGUGGUCAACAUUCUUCAAGCCAAAAAUCAUUGCAGACUGCAAGACUCUUAAGAAUAUGGGCGAGCUGCUGUCAGGAACUGAACCUGAAUCUGAGGACUACAAUGGAUGGGACAGCGAUAUGUCCUCAAUCCUUUUGCAGCUGCAUCUGCUCCCUCUAACCUCAAGAGGCCAGAAAAAAAAUAUCCAAGAUCAGUUCAGCUCAAGCAACCAGCCAUCUUGUGAGCUACCUUAAGGAAGGAGCCAGUGUGACUACCUUCAUUGAGAGUGCUGACACAAGACAACCAUUUCUCCUCUGCAUCGGUGAGCGAAAGAAGGAUAUCCAAAAGUUCUACAUUAUUAUCGACCAAAAGGCGAUCCCAUGUAAGGCGCACACAUCAGUGGCAGCUUUUGAUGAACUGUUCAAAGCUCACUAUGUCUUCAGUUUCUGAUAUGAUGAAGCUCUUUGUGAUUUCUACACAUUUAUCCAAACCACUAUAUAUAACAUCGAUGUCGGAAGAGCAAUGGAGAGCCUGCGUGUUAAAGAACUUUGAGCACGAUUGCUGCAGCGAGAUUAACUGCCUUGAAGAUGUUCACAUGUUUUGUAUGUAAAGCACACCUCAGAACUUGUUUGGUUCUUCGUCAACAUUUAAAAUUUCAACAUGGUUUAUAUCCUAGCAAAAAGUUACAUUUAAAAUGUGGAGAGCCAGGUCGCCUGUUAUCAUUUUGUACUUAUAGUGGCUUCCGAAAACACCUCAGCAAGGUACAUAGUCACACUAUGGAUCAGGAGUUUGAUACUAAUCAGGAUCUUUCCACUCAGGGAGAAUAUGAGGCGGAAUGUUCAAAUGAUCGCCCAAGUUUACAAAGUUGGAGUUUACAAAGACAUUAAUGAUGGGUCGUGUUUCCAAAACCAUGCACUGUUCUCACAGCAAAAGCACGCUUUUCAGAUUCUAUUCUAUUACAACGAUUUUGAAACUGCUAACCCUCUAGGUUCCAAGAGGGGGAUCCACAAACUUGGUUGAAUCUAUUUUACUCUAAAAAAUCUUCCACGCAAGUGUAACUCUGUACUGAUUAAUGUACAUCUUGCAGCUUGAUUCUACACGGAAGAUCUUAAGACAUAUGGUUUUGAUGUGAUAAUAAAGCCCCUUAUUGAUGACCUGAAAAUCUUAGAAACCGAAGGCAUACAGCUUCCUUGUUUUGAACAACCAUUGUUUGGCUCAGUAAUUCAAGUAACAGGAAAUAAUUUGGCUUUAAAUGGCUUGCUGGGAAUCUUACAGUGCAACUAAUUUCUGUAGGCUUUGUUUAAUUAGUAAGGAAGAAGUUCAAUCUAUAUUUACUGGAGAUCAUCCUGGGUUAAUUUUUCGUUCCAAAGAGGUUCAUACUGAACAUUGUAAGGCACUAAAUGAAAAUCCUGAACUGCGGUCAAUAUAUGGUGUCAAAAAGUCAUGUGCGCUCAAUUCAUUAGAGUAUUUCCAUUGUACUGAUAACUAUGCUGUUGACAUCAUGCAUGAUCUGCUAGAGGGUGUGGUACAGUAUGAACUUAAACUGGUUUUUGAGUACCUUGUUAAACAGGGUGCACAGCUUUAAUUAUGGUUACACAGACCGUAAAAACAAACCAAGUGGGUUAAAAAUGGAUGAUAAGGGCAAACACCUGGGUUUGAAUGCCAUACAGUCAUGGUGUCUUCUGCACAACACUCCACUGAUAUUUGGUGGUCAUUGAAAGGAAUAACAAUCACUGGAACUUUCUCCUGCUUUUGAUACAGAUUGUCAAUAUAGUGUUCUCCUACACCAUAACUGAUGGGAUGAUAUGUUACUUAAAACAUCUGAUCUGUGAUCACCAUACUCUAUUCAAAGAAUUGAUUCCUGACAAGACGUCGAUUCCCAAGCACCACUUGAUGAUGCACUAUCUGAGAUGCAUAAAAAAAAAUGGCCCUCUUAUCCAUAUGUGGUGAAUGCGAUUUGAAGCUAAGCACCAUAUUUUCAAAAGAUGUGGCAAAAAUUUAAAGAAUCUCAUUAAAUCAUUAGUAAAGCAACAUCAACGUCAAUUGGCAUUUAACUGUGAAAAUGAUUGUUUUAGAAGGUUUGAAUUUGGUCCUACAUCAAAAACCAUCUGUAACUUGCAAGGUGGGGAAGAACUCAGUCAGACAUUAUAUUUAGAAGCCUGUUUGAGUGUUACAAGUACAAAGUGGGUCAGACAUUAUGGUACUGAGUAUCAGGUUGGUGUGUUCAUAUGCACUGGAUGUACUCAUUAAUAACGAAUAAUAAACAUUUCUAUAUGUUGAUAGAAAUAUAAAGCAUUUAUAUAUAUAUGUAUGUGUGUGUGUCCCCUUCUCUUAUCUAAAUAUUCAAACAGCCCAAGAAAUAAAAUUAGCUAUUUUCUGAGACGAUGAAGUGACUCUUAAAAGAGCCUUUGUGUAUAUUAGACGGAGUUGUCGUUUAAGUGCAUUCUCCGCGAAUACGGCAGGCCAGCUGAAUAUCCUUGAGAGAGAUGGAGAAAUGUGAAAAGCUAGCACUGUGGCUAUGUGUUUCGCAACCAUGAGCUGUAUUUCAACGCUUUUUGGCCACAGCAUGCUGCCUCACAAACGUCCCAAUUCAUGCCCCCCUUUUCCACAGUCGUUGUGUAUAUCCAGGUAAGGAUAAAAGUUACAUUUCCAUCCAUCCAUCUUCUAUACCGCGUAAUCCUUCUCAGGGUCACGGGUAAAAGCUACA